AUGGCCGCAAGAAAGAGCUCCCCGACGGUCGUCCUGCGGCGGCCGCCUCCUUCCCCACUUAAUUGGCCGACAGAUCCUCGCCUCCCUUCGCCGGACCCCGUUCCGGAGCAGCCGGCCGCCGCGCCGUUCUUCCUCGGCUCCGACGUCCACGUACAGCCGCUGGUGCCAUUGUGGAGAGCAGCACGCUCCUCCCUGGCGACCAGAUGCGAUGCAGGAAGGAUGGCCCAGCGUCCACGGCGGAGCGCGCUGGCGACGCUGGAACUGCUGCGCACCGCGGCCGGCGACGCCGCGCAGGGAGGCCCUGGCUGCGCCCGUGCUGGCGCGUGCCGUGAAGGGCAUGUCCGGCCCCGGCCACGAGUGAGCCAUCGACGUCCUGGCGGCCAUCUACGGCAGGGAGGCCGUGGGCGCGGUGCACGGCGAGUGCUGCGGCUCAAGGUCACCCAGCUCCUCCGCGCGGCCUCCCCUCAUCACUGCACGUUGCCGUGUGCUCCGGCAGCCGCCGCCUCACUUGCGCGUGCAUGCUCGCGCUGGCUGGCGCAUAGCUCGGGAGCAAGAGCUGCCAGCUCGUCGGCGUGCUCGCCGCGACGGAGUGGUCCGUCCAUCUGCGUCAAGCUCAUCCCCAUGGCUGCAAGAAAGAGCUCGCCGACGGUCGUCCUGAAGCUGUUUGAUGAAAUGCCUCAGAGAAAUAGAGAUGGGAAGAAGAUGACCAUUUACUCAUUGACAGGUGGGGGCCGCAUCUCAUUUGCCACAUCAGUUGGUCAAAGUUUUGGUCUUCGCCACCUCAGCCUGACAAGUGGGCCCAAGAGGUCAGAACGACUGUUUUCACGAGGUUAUGAGACCAUCAGUGCUCCAUGUUAUCGGUGCAGGCGGCGAGUCGAGGUCGCUGUGACGGACGGUGAUAUAUAUCGCUUGAAGCAAGCAGCAUGGAUUGCGUCGCUCAUGUCGCAUCGCGUCAGCGUCUUCUGCCCUUCGUGCCAUUGGCCAACAGAAGCCCAUGGCGAAUGCUCUUCUUCAUGGAUAGUUACGUCCUUUCUUCUCAAAAGUAGACAUAUAGUUACCAAGCGAUCAACUUGGUAA
RNAcentral lists this ribosomal RNA (1077 nucleotides) under Triticum aestivum (bread wheat). Its description in RNAcentral is "partial small subunit ribosomal RNA". The record is from RNAcentral. Lineage: Eukaryota; Viridiplantae; Streptophyta; Magnoliopsida; Poales; Poaceae.